GUCAGUACCUGGAUGGGAGACCACAUGGGAAAGC
Ribosomal RNA from Danio rerio (zebrafish), 34 nucleotides. The record is from Ensembl. NCBI's taxonomy places the organism in Eukaryota, Metazoa, Chordata, Actinopteri, Cypriniformes, Danionidae.